Molecule: transfer RNA, 72 nt
Filed under: Poodytes punctatus (New Zealand fernbird)
Lineage: Eukaryota; Metazoa; Chordata; Aves; Passeriformes; Locustellidae
Description: tRNA-Glu
Rfam family: tRNA
About the family: Transfer RNA (tRNA) molecules are approximately 80 nucleotides in length. Their secondary structure includes four short double-helical elements and three loops (D, anti-codon, and T loops).
Source: RNAcentral
GUUCCUGUAGUUAAAGUUCUAUAACGGCGGCUUUUCAGGUUGCAGGUCUUGGAGAGAGUCCAAGUAGGAAUU